RNAcentral lists this ribosomal RNA (307 nucleotides) under Dehalobacter sp. MCB1. Its description in RNAcentral is "partial 16S ribosomal RNA". It matches the Rfam family "Bacterial small subunit ribosomal RNA", at positions 1236 to 1533 of the family's 1533-position model. The record is from RNAcentral. Lineage: Bacteria; Bacillati; Bacillota; Clostridia; Eubacteriales; Desulfitobacteriaceae.
GGUACAGACGGAAGCGAAGCCGCGAGGUGGAGCAAAUCCGAGAAAGCCGUUCUCAGUUCGGAUUGCAGGCUGCAACUCGCCUGCAUGAAGUCGGAAUCGCUAGUAAUCGCAGGUCAGCACACUGCGGUGAAUACGUUCCCGGGCCUUGUACACACCGCCCGUCACACCACGAAAGUUUGCAACACCCGAAGCCGGUGGGGUAACCGUAAGGAGCCAGCCGUCGAAGGUGGGGUAGAUGAUUGGGGUGAAGUCGUAACAAGGUAGCCGUAUCGGAAGGUGCGGCUGGAUCACCUCCUUUCUAGGGAGA